Molecule: long non-coding RNA, 312 nt
Filed under: Olea europaea subsp. europaea
Lineage: Eukaryota; Viridiplantae; Streptophyta; Magnoliopsida; Lamiales; Oleaceae
Source: RNAcentral
GGGGAGCAACGAAAAUAGAUGCUAAAUUUUAUUAUUAUUAUUUUUUUUAAUGGUGAACAUACAUCCCUUUUAAUAGCAAAUAUAUGUUGUAUAGUCAAAUGCUUAUUAGUCACUAGGGAUAACGUUGGAGAAAUGCGAUGCUAUUAAUUUAUUGCCCAUUUCAUGAAUUUUCCAUUCAGUUUCUCGAUCACCAUAUGAAGUAUUCAAUGUACUGGAUGAAAAAAUGAUAUUAAGCUGAUGUUGUAGGUAAAAAAUAUAUAUGGUAGAGCGGAUUAUCUUCUUUUGGUCAUAAUAUCUCUCCUUGAAGCCCAG